RNAcentral lists this unclassified non-coding RNA (1768 nucleotides) under Cimex lectularius (bed bug). Its description in RNAcentral is "sTAM-binding protein, transcript variant X1". Lineage: Eukaryota; Metazoa; Arthropoda; Insecta; Hemiptera; Cimicidae. The record is from RNAcentral.
UCGCGAAGAAAGAAAGGGAGGAAUGCCGAAACUCAGAUUAGCAAUAGACGUUCUGAUGAUGAGCGGCCGGGCCGUGAGCAUUUGUUCCGAGGGCACAUGGUCACUGGGGAACGUUGGUACCUUGCGAUGCGAAGAAGUAGGAGGAGGACGACGAACCGUUUGGGGAUGGAUUGACACCUGCGGAUCCUUCGUCACCUCGGUUAUUUCCUUCGUUGUCGAAAUGGAAAUGGACGAAGACAACGUUACAGACAAGACUAUAGUUUUGGACCCGAUUUCCAGGCUGAAAAUCGUGACAAAACAAGCCAGCGAAGUAGAGAUCGACAACAACAUACCUCCUAUAAGAUAUUACAAAUCAGGCUUGCAAAUGGUCCGCAUGGCCAAUGUCUAUCUGGAAGAAGGUGCCUUAGAAAACGCCUUUACACUCUACAUAAAAUUCAUGACAUUAUUUCUGGAGAAAAUCAGGAACCACCCAGAGUUUGAAAAAGUUCCAAAAUCCGACAAACAAGUGAACUCACAAAAAUUGAAAGAAGUCCUUCCGAAGGCCGAACAGUUGAAGAAACAGUUGCUAGCACAGUACGAGGAGGAGUACGAUAGAUAUUUGAAAGAUGUGAAGAGGCGGGAGAAGUUUAUGAGGAAUAAAAUGGUCAUUGACGAGAAAUCUAAACCUAGUGUACAAUCAGCCCCAGCGAAGAAUUCCGUAAACAAUAGUCAACCUCUCAAAUUGAAUAUAAAUCCCGUACCUCCGUUGCUCGAAAACCUGAGUUAUCCAAAUAGCGACACUUUUCUUCCUCCGGCUCCAUUUAAAAACUCGAGCGCCGAUAAAAGUGAUUUGAAAUCAAGCAAACCUAUUAUCAACAGAAGUUCAAAGCCUUCAUUCCUCGUCUGUCCCAAUGUACCACCGAGCAAGCUGAGGAUAGUCAUCGUACCUGGAAAUUUGGUGUCGCAGUUUCUCCUUCUCGCGAGGAAGAAUACGGAUUUAAAUAUAGAAACCGGUGGGAUUUUAGCGGGAAAAUUGAAAAGAGAGCAACUUCUCAUCACGCAUUUAUUGGUGCCUGAACAAGUUGGUACGUGUGACAGUUGUACCACUCAGAGGGAAGAAGACUUGUUUGAUUAUCAGGAACAGCACGAUUUGAUUACUCUGGGCUGGAUACACACCCACCCAACACAGACGGCAUUUAUGUCAAGUGUGGAUCUUCAUACCCAUUAUGCCUAUCAAAGGAUGAUUCCUGAAGCAAUCGCUAUUGUGUGCGCUGUGAAUGACAAAUUACGGAUUAUAUUUUAUCAGUAAUUGCACACAGACGGGAUUUCAUCCUCAUCCGACCGAUAACAACAUAUACACAGAGGCGAAGCAUAUUAAACCAGAUCCAAGAGCUUCGCUUGAAAUCGUCGAUUUAAGACGGACAAAACGUUAAUUUAAUAAAUAUAAAAAUAAAUAAAAAAUAAUAAACAGGCAUUAGUGUUGUUAAGAUAUAUGCAUUUGUAUAUCAUGAUGGAGGGUAUCACUAAAACACGUAUUUUAGUAUGCACUGCGAGGGAACAAAAUGACAUAUAAGCAGUUCCAGCUGGCUCGUCACCGAAGUAAAAGUAUUAAUAAAUUUUAUAAAAUCUCCCUUUUUUUCCCCCAGUUUUUGUCACUCUCGCUUUCUCAUCUUUAACCGAAGGUUUUUUUAAAAGAUAUUCAUCAAAACUUGUUUAACAGAUGAUUCUGUAGAAUAUUUAAAGAUGAUCAUACUUAAUAUCGUUAUAACAAUCAAUUUUUUACAUAAUU